Molecule: ribosomal RNA, 253 nt
Filed under: uncultured bacterium
Lineage: Bacteria
Description: partial 16S ribosomal RNA
Rfam family: Bacterial small subunit ribosomal RNA
Source: RNAcentral
UACGUAGGUGGCAAGCGUUGUCCGGAUUUAUUGGGUUUAAAGGGUGCGUAGGCGGCUUUGUAAGUCAGUGGUGAAAUAUGGCAGCUUAACUGUCAAGGUGCCAUUGAUACUGCAGAGCUUGAGUACAGAUGAGGUAGGCGGAAUUGACGGUGUAGCGGUGAAAUGCUUAGAUAUCGUCAAGAACACCUAUAGCGAGGGCAGCUUACUAAGCUGUAACUGACGCUGAGGCACGAAAGUGUGGGGAUCAAACAGG